CCUGUCUCCAGCAGCCACAUAAGCACCAUGAAGAGGCUGCUGUGCUGUCUGCUGGGGCUUCUGUGCACCCAGGUUUGCUGGGUGAAAGGGCAGCAAAUACAGCAGAGUCCCGUGUCCUUGGUUCUGCAGGAGGGAGAGAAUGCAGAGAUGCAGUGUAACUUUUCCUCCAUAGCAACCCAGCUGCAGUGGUUUUACCAACGUCCUGGGGGAAGUCUCAUCAGCCUGUUCUACAAUCCUUCUGGGACAAAGCAGAGUGGAAGACUGACAUCCACCACAGUCAGUAAAGAAUUUCGAGGCUCUUUGCACAUUUCCUCCUCCCAGGCCACAGACUCAGGCACUUAUUUCUGUGCUAUAGAGCCACAGCACUCCCUACACACCUGCAGCCUGUACACAAACCUAGCGGGUGAAAGAACUUAUUAA
This is a non-coding RNA of Mastomys coucha (southern multimammate mouse), 420 nucleotides long. Lineage: Eukaryota; Metazoa; Chordata; Mammalia; Rodentia; Muridae. The record is from the annotation of a RefSeq genome assembly.